Molecule: ribosomal RNA, 434 nt
Filed under: Methylomirabilis oxygeniifera (SeqCode)
Lineage: Bacteria; Methylomirabilota (SeqCode); Methylomirabilia (SeqCode); Methylomirabilales (SeqCode); Methylomirabilaceae (SeqCode)
Description: bacterial SSU rRNA
Rfam family: Bacterial small subunit ribosomal RNA
Source: RNAcentral
CCUGAAAGGGCGGGGUGCCCGCAAGGGAGCGUGGAGACAGGUGGUGCAUGGCUGUCGUCAGCUCGUGUCGUGAGAUGUUGGGUUAAGUCCCGCAACGAGCGCAACCCUCACCCCUGGUUGCCACCGGGUAAAGCCGAGCACUCGAGGGGAACUGCCAGCGUCAAGCUGGAGGAAGGCGGGGAUGACGUCAAGUCAUCAUGCCCCUUACGCCCUGGGCUACACACGUGCUACAAUGGCCGGUACAAAGGGACGCGAGACCGCGAGGUGGAGCCAAUCCCAAAAAACUGGUCUAAGUUCAGAUUGCAGUCUGCAACUCGACUGCAUGAAGGAGGAAUCGCUAGUAAUCGCGCAUCAGCACGGCGCGGUGAAUACGUUCCCGGGCCUUGUACACACCGCCCGUCACACCACGAAAGCUGUCUGUACUCGAAGUCGCU